This 29-nucleotide small RNA is filed under the name Bombyx mori (domestic silkworm). Its description in RNAcentral is "ovarian small RNA-11433". The record is from RNAcentral. Lineage: Eukaryota; Metazoa; Arthropoda; Insecta; Lepidoptera; Bombycidae.
ACGACUCGGAGUCGGAGCCGGAGCUCGAU